Choiromyces venosus 120613-1 is the source of this 83-nucleotide non-coding RNA. The record is from the annotation of a GenBank genome assembly. NCBI's taxonomy places the organism in Eukaryota, Fungi, Ascomycota, Pezizomycetes, Pezizales, Tuberaceae.
GAUUCAGUGGUGUAGGGGUAUCAUGGGCGCUUGCCAUUCCAGCGAGUGUGCGCCCGACCCGGGUUCGACUCCCGGCUGAAUCA